GGGGAUGAAAGGAUUUCGACGGGGAUAUUGAACCGUGAUAAGCGAGCAGCGGUGUGGUACCGCUUUAAACAGCCACAGUUUAUGAAAAUAAACGACAAAGAUCAAAAAGUACUUCUUGCUGCUUAAUUAGCGGCGAGCGUUCCCCUCAGAGUACCGCGGCUGAGUACGGAGCGUCAUCAGCGGUAAAUGUGCACGGGCACACUGCCUUGUAACCCGUCACACAAAACAGGGCUACCGAAACGAAAAGCCUGCCGUGCGGCGUUUCGCAACGGGAAUUUUAAAGAAACGGCUACGCUCGUAGAAAUUUGCGGGAAUGUGUUUUCGGACGCGGUUUCGAUUACCGCCAUCUCCACCA
RNAcentral lists this transfer-messenger RNA (355 nucleotides) under Acutalibacteraceae. RNAcentral's name for it is "Fimenecus sp900540295 Standard tmRNA". It matches the Rfam family "transfer-messenger RNA". Rfam says of the family: Bacterial tmRNA, also known as 10Sa RNA or SsrA, is named for its dual tRNA and mRNA-like properties. Its role is to liberate the mRNA from a stalled ribosome. To accomplish this part of the tmRNA is used as a reading frame that ends in a translation stop signal. The record is from RNAcentral. Lineage: Bacteria; Bacillati; Bacillota; Clostridia; Eubacteriales. RNAcentral also lists the same sequence under 1 other name.